Molecule: ribosomal RNA, 447 nt
Filed under: uncultured bacterium
Lineage: Bacteria
Description: bacterial SSU rRNA
Rfam family: Bacterial small subunit ribosomal RNA
Source: RNAcentral
UGACAGUACUCUACGGGAGGCAGCAGUGGGGAAUAUUGGACAAUGGGCGCAAGCCUGAUCCAGCCAUGCCGCGUGAGUGAUGAAGGCCUUAGGGUUGUAAAGCUCUUUUGUCCGGGACGAUAAUGACGGUACCGGAAGAAUAAGCCCCGGCUAACUUCGUGCCAGCAGCCGCGGUAAUACGAAGGGGGCUAGCGUUGCUCGGAAUCACUGGGCGUAAAGGGCGCGUAGGCGGCCAUUCAAGUCGGGGGUGAAAGCCUGUGGCUCAACCACAGAAUUGCCUUCGAUACUGUUUGGCUUGAGUUUGGUAGAGGUUGGUGGAACUGCGAGUGUAGAGGUGAAAUUCGUAGAUAUUCGCAAGAACACCAGUGGCGAAGGCGGCCAACUGGACCAAUACUGACGCUGAGGCGCGAAAGCGUGGGGAGCAAACAGGAUUAGAUACCCUGGUAG